GCAGUCGAGCGGAAACGAUUCUAGCUUGCUAGAAGGCGUCGAGCGGCGGACGGGUGAGUAACGCGUAGGAACCUGCCCGAUAGAGGGGGAUAGCCAUUGGAAACGAUGAUUAAUACCGCAUAAUGUCUACGGACCAAAGUAGGGGAUCUUCGGACCUUACACUAUCGGAUGGGCCUGCGUAGGAUUAGCUUGUUGGUGAGGUAAUGGCUCACCAAGGCGACGAUCCUAGCUGGUCUGAGAGGAUGAUCAGCCACACUGGAACUGAGACACGGUCCAGACUCCUACGGGAGGCAGCAGUGGGGAAUAUUGCACAAUGGAGGAAACUCUGAUGCAGCCAUGCCGCGUGUGUGAAGAAGGCCUUAGGGUUGUAAAGCACUUUCAGCGAGGAGGAAAGGUUUAAGAUUAAUAAUCUUAAGCUGUGACGUUACUCGCAGAAGAAGGACCGGCUAACUCCGUGCCAGCAGCCGCGGUAAUACGGAGGGUCCGAGCGUUAAUCGGAAUUACUGGGCGUAAAGCGCGCGUAGGCGGUUUGUUAAGUUGGAUGUGAAAGCCCAGGGCUCAACCUUGGAACUGCAUCCAAAACUGGCAAGCUAGAGUACAGUAGAGGGUAGUGGAAUUUCAGGUGUAGCGGUGAAAUGCGUAGAGAUCUGAAGGAACAUCAGUGGCGAAGGCGACUACCUGGACUGAUACUGACGCUGAGGUGCGAAAGCGUGGGGAGCAAACGGGAUUAGAUAC
Molecule: ribosomal RNA, 735 nt
Filed under: uncultured marine bacterium
Lineage: Bacteria
Description: bacterial SSU rRNA
Rfam family: Bacterial small subunit ribosomal RNA
Source: RNAcentral